CCUACGAGUGGCAGCAGUGGGGAAUAUUGCACAAUGGGGGAAACCCUGAUGCAGCGACGCCGCGUGAGUGAAGAAGUAAUUCGUUAUGUAAAGCUCUAUCAGCAGGGAAGAAAAUGACGGUACCUGAGUCAGAAUCCCCGGCUAACUACGUGCAAGCAGCCGCGGUAAUACGUAGGGGGCAAGCGUUAUCCGGAUUUACUGGGUGUAAAGGGAGCGUAGACGGGUGGCCAAGUCUGGAGUGAAAUGCCGCGGCUCAACUGCGGAACUGCUUUGGAAACUGGCGAACUAGAGUGCAGGAGGGGUAAGCGGAAUUCCUAGUGUAGCGGUGAAAUGCGUAGAUAUUAGGAGGAACACCGGUGGCGAAGGCGGCUUACUGGACUGUAACUGACGUUGAGGCUCGAAAGCGUGGGGAGCAAACAGGAUUAGAUACCCUUGUAGUC
This 440-nucleotide ribosomal RNA is filed under the name uncultured bacterium. RNAcentral's name for it is "partial 16S ribosomal RNA". It matches the Rfam family "Bacterial small subunit ribosomal RNA", at positions 338 to 795 of the family's 1533-position model. The record is from RNAcentral.